Long non-coding RNA from Scaptodrosophila lebanonensis, 271 nucleotides. RefSeq lists it as uncharacterized. The record is from RefSeq and is a predicted model, not a curated record. The transcript has 4 exons. NCBI's taxonomy places the organism in Eukaryota, Metazoa, Arthropoda, Insecta, Diptera, Drosophilidae.
CUCAUGGCCAUAUUUGCUUUAGGUUCUGGUCAGGAACAAAAAAUGUCUGCAGGAAAUUCUACAACAAAGGUGCAACAUAAGCCUUCAAAGAAGCCUCUGAAAAUUAAACCUUGGUGUUGCCUAUUUAAUUGCGGACAUUCUCAAUGCAAAGGCUAAGUUGAGAGUUUUUCCAAACAUUUGGCCUCAGAUAUGUGUUCAAUUGCGAUUAGACUUGGCUGUAAUCUGUGACGAAUUUUUACUAUAAAGACUAGUUCAAUAAUAUAUCGAAUGA